UAGGGAAUCUUCCACAAUGGACGCAAGUCUGAUGGAGCAACGCCGCGUGAGUGAAGAAGGCUUUCGGGUCGUAAAACUCUGUUGUUGGAGAAGAAUGGUCGGCAGAGUAACUGUUGUCGGCGUGACGGUAUCCAACCAGAAAGCCACGGCUAACUACGUGCCAGCAGCCGCGGUAAUACGUAGGUGGCAAGCGUUAUCCGGAUUUAUUGGGCGUAAAGCGAGCGCAGGCGGUUUUUUAAGUCUGAUGUGAAAGCCCUCGGCUUAACCGAGGAAGUGCAUCGGAAACUGGAAAACUUGAGUGCAGAAGAGGACAGUGGAACUCCAUGUGUAGCGGUGAAAUGCGUAGAUAUAUGGAAGAACACCAGUGGCGAAGGCGGCUGUCUGGUCUGUAACUGACGCUGAGGCUCGAAAGCAUGGGUAGCGAACAGGAUUAGAUACCCUGGUAGUCCAUGCCGUAAACGAUGAAUGCUAGGUGUUGGAGG
This 482-nucleotide ribosomal RNA is filed under the name uncultured bacterium. Its description in RNAcentral is "partial 16S ribosomal RNA". It matches the Rfam family "Bacterial small subunit ribosomal RNA", at positions 355 to 829 of the family's 1533-position model. The record is from RNAcentral.